UACUUAGUGGCAGACGGGUGAGUAACAUGUGGGUAUCUACCCUUUGGCCUGGAAUAACACGAGGAAACUUGUGCUAAUACCGGAUAAGUCUUUACGGAGAAAGCUUUAUGCACCAUUGGAGGAGCCCGCACUUGAUUAGUUUGUUGGUAGGGUAAUGGCCUACCAAGACUAUGAUCAAUAGCUGAUUUGAGAGGAUGAUCAGCCACAUUGGGACUGAGACACGGCCCAAACUCCUACGGGAGGCAGCAGUGGGGAAUCUUGCACAAUGGAGGAAACUCUGAUGCAGCGAUGCCGCGUGAGUGAAGAAGGCCUUUGGGUUGUAAAGCUCUUUCGUCGGGGAAGAAAAUGACUGUACCCGAAUAAGAAGGUCCGGCUAACUUCGUGCCAGCAGCCGCGGUAAUACGAAGGGACCUAGCGUAGUUCGGAAUUACUGGGCUUAAAGAGUUCGUAGGUGGUUGAAAUAGUUG
RNAcentral lists this ribosomal RNA (467 nucleotides) under uncultured Pelagibacterales bacterium. RNAcentral describes it as "bacterial SSU rRNA". It matches the Rfam family "Bacterial small subunit ribosomal RNA", at positions 89 to 590 of the family's 1533-position model. The record is from RNAcentral. Lineage: Bacteria; Pseudomonadati; Pseudomonadota; Alphaproteobacteria; Candidatus Pelagibacterales.